RNAcentral lists this ribosomal RNA (253 nucleotides) under uncultured bacterium. RNAcentral's name for it is "partial 16S ribosomal RNA". It matches the Rfam family "Bacterial small subunit ribosomal RNA", at positions 524 to 776 of the family's 1533-position model. The record is from RNAcentral.
UACGUAGGGGACAAGCGUUGUCCGGAAUCAUUGGGCGUAAAGAGCGUGUAGGCGGCUCGAUAAGUCCGCUGUGAAAGUCCAGGGCUCAACCCUGGAAGGCCGGUGGAAACUGUCGGGCUAGAGUCCGGAAGAGGCGAGUGGAAUUCCCGGUGUAGCGGUGAAAUGCGCAGAUAUCGGGAGGAACACCAAUGGCGAAGGCAGCUCGCUGGGACGGUACUGACGCUGAGACGCGAAAGCGUGGGGAGCAAACAGG